GAAGAAAAUGGGUGCUUCUCAAUCAGUCCCUGAGAAGUCCAUUCAUGAAUUCGUGGUGAAGGAUGCCAGAGGACAAGACGUUGACCUUAGUAUCUACCGGGGAAAGGUUCUUCUUGUGGUAAAUGUUGCUUCCAAAUGUGGUUACACAGAUUCGAAUUAUACCCAGCUGACGGAACUUUACAGCAAAUACAAAGAAAAAGGAUUGGAGAUCUUGGCUUUUCCAUGCAAUCAGUUUUUGAAUCAGGAACCUGGAUCCAGCGAGGAGGCACAGGAAUUUGCCUGUACAAGAUUCAAAGCCGAGUAUCCAAUAUUCCAAAAGGUAAAUGUGAACGGCCCUGAUACGGCACCCGUCUAUAAGUUCCUUAAAGCUAGUAAAACUGGAUUUUUGGGGUCUAGAAUAAAGUGGAAUUUUACCAAGUUCUUAGUUGACAAAGAAGGUUUUGCCAUCAAACGCUAUGGCACGACCACUACUCCCUUGGCAAUUGAGGCCGAUAUCAAGGAAGCACUGGGAGAAGUGUAAAUGGGUGAGCUUAUAGUGCGCUUGGACGAAGCUUAGGCCCUUCACCUAGAGACAUUAUUAAGCAAGUAUUGGCUGUAUUUGUACAUUGAAACUGAUCGUGUAUGGAUUAUUUGACUUGCUUCAGCUGGAUCAAAUUAAG
RNAcentral lists this unclassified non-coding RNA (659 nucleotides) under Hevea brasiliensis (rubber tree). Lineage: Eukaryota; Viridiplantae; Streptophyta; Magnoliopsida; Malpighiales; Euphorbiaceae. The record is from RNAcentral.